CUCCGAAAGAUGAGUCCCGAAUAGGACGAAAUGCGCGUCUUGGAU
This 45-nucleotide non-coding RNA is filed under the name Trichobilharzia regenti. The record is from RNAcentral. Lineage: Eukaryota; Metazoa; Platyhelminthes; Trematoda; Strigeidida; Schistosomatidae.